RNAcentral lists this ribosomal RNA (517 nucleotides) under uncultured bacterium. Its description in RNAcentral is "bacterial SSU rRNA". It matches the Rfam family "Bacterial small subunit ribosomal RNA", at positions 501 to 1017 of the family's 1533-position model. The record is from RNAcentral.
CUACGUGCCAGCAGCCGCGGUAAUACGUAGGUGGCAAGCGUUGUCCGGAAUUAUUGGGCGUAAAGCGCGCGCAGGCGGAUUGGUCAGUCUGUCUUAAAAGUUCGGGGCUUAACCCCGUGAUGGGAUGGAAACUGCCAAUCUAGAGUAUCGGAGAGGAGAGUGGAAUUCCUAGUGUAGCGGUGAAAUGCGUAGAUAUUAGGAAGAACACCAGUGGCGAAGGCGACUUUCUGGACGAAAACUGACGCUGAGGCGCGAAAGCCAGGGGAGCGAACGGGAUUAGAUACCCCGGUAGUCCUGGCCGUAAACGAUGGGUACUAGGUGUAGGAGGUAUCGACCCCUUCUGUGCCGGAGUUAACGCAAUAAGUACCCCGCCUGGGGAGUACGACCGCAAGGUUGAAACUCAAAGGAAUUGACGGGGGCCCGCACAAGCGGUGGAGUAUGUGGUUUAAUUCGAAGCAACGCGAAGAACCUUACCUACUCUUGACAUCCAUGGAAUCUUGUAGAGAUACGAGAGUGC